Molecule: microRNA, 21 nt
Filed under: Zea mays
Lineage: Eukaryota; Viridiplantae; Streptophyta; Magnoliopsida; Poales; Poaceae
Description: microRNA miR-3062
Source: RNAcentral
AGCAAGAGGAUUGGAGGGGCU